AGCUUGCUCUUGAUGACGAGUGGCGCACGGGUGAGUAACGCGUAUGCAAUCUACCUAUAACUGAGGAAUAGCCCAGAGAAAUUUGGAUUAAUACCUCAUAGUAUUAUUAUUUGGCAUCAUUUAAUAAUUAAAACUCCGGUGGUUAUAGAUGAGCAUGCGUUCUAUUAGCUAGUUGGUGAGGUAAGAGCUCACCAAGGCUACGAUAGAUAGGGGGCCUGAAAGGGUGAUCCCCCACACUGGUACUGAGACACGGACCAGACUCCUACGGGAGGCAGCAGUGAGGAAUAUUGCACAAUGGAGGAAACUCUGAUGCAGCCAUGCCGCGUGCAGGAUGAGGGCCCUAUGGGUUGUAAACUGCUUUUUUACAAGAAGAAACCUUGGUACGUGUACCAACUUGACGGUAUUGUAAGAAUAAGCACCGGCUAACUCCGUGCCAGCAGCCGCGGUAAUACGGAGGGUGCAAGCGUUAUCCGGAUUUAUUAGGUUUAAAGGGUUCGCAGGCGGAAUUUUAAGUCA
RNAcentral lists this ribosomal RNA (516 nucleotides) under uncultured Bacteroidota bacterium. Its description in RNAcentral is "bacterial SSU rRNA". It matches the Rfam family "Bacterial small subunit ribosomal RNA", at positions 77 to 590 of the family's 1533-position model. The record is from RNAcentral. Lineage: Bacteria; Pseudomonadati; Bacteroidota.